GCCUGGGUGGCUUAGUUGGUUAAGCAUCUGACUUUGGCUCAGGUCAUGAUCUCGGGCU
Molecule: transfer RNA, 58 nt
Filed under: Felis catus (domestic cat)
Lineage: Eukaryota; Metazoa; Chordata; Mammalia; Carnivora; Felidae
Also listed under: 2 other names
Source: Rfam by way of RNAcentral